Molecule: ribosomal RNA, 443 nt
Filed under: uncultured bacterium
Lineage: Bacteria
Description: partial 16S ribosomal RNA
Rfam family: Bacterial small subunit ribosomal RNA
Source: RNAcentral
CCUACGGGAGGCAGCAGUGGGGGAUAUUGGACAAUGGGGGGAACCCUGAUCCAGCGACGCCGCGUGAGUGAAGAAGUAUUUCGGUAUGUAAAGCUCUGUCAGCAGGGAAGAAAGAAAUGACGGUACCUGACCAAGAAGCCCCGGAUCACUCCGUGCCAGCCGCCGUGGUAAUACGUAGGGGGCCCGCGUUAUCCGGAAGUACGGGGUGUAAAGGGAGCGUCGACGGUUAGGUACGUCUGGAGUGAAGGGCCGGGGCGCAACCCCGGGACUGCGCUGGAAACUAUUGAGCUUGGAUGCAGGGGAGGUAAGCGGAAUUCCUAGUGUAGCGGUGAAAUGCGUAGAUAUUAGGAGGAACACCAGUGGCGAAGGCGGCUUACUGGACUGUAACUGACGUUGAGGCUCGAAAGCGUGGGGAGCAAACAGGAUUAGAUACCCUUGUAGUC